RNAcentral lists this small nuclear RNA (81 nucleotides) under Anolis carolinensis (green anole). RNAcentral describes it as "7SK RNA". It matches the Rfam family "7SK RNA", at positions 13 to 93 of the family's 331-position model. Rfam says of the family: 7SK was discovered as an abundant small nuclear RNA in the mid-70s but a possible function has only recently been suggested. Two independent studies have found that 7SK RNA binds the CDK9/cyclin T complex (known as elongation factor P-TEFb). P-TEFb activates transcription by phosphorylating the C-terminal domain of RNA polymerase II. Lineage: Eukaryota; Metazoa; Chordata; Lepidosauria; Squamata; Anolidae. The record is from Rfam by way of RNAcentral.
GAUCUAGCUGCAAUAUCUAUCAACCCAUUGAUCUACAGGUUUGAUUCAGAAAAUCUGGCUGGCUAGAUGGGUAUUUCCUUC